RNAcentral lists this long non-coding RNA (702 nucleotides) under Toxoplasma gondii VEG. The record is from RNAcentral. Lineage: Eukaryota; Apicomplexa; Conoidasida; Eucoccidiorida; Sarcocystidae.
GGAAACGCGAAAAGAAACUCGGGAAGCUGGGACAGCGCUGGGCGACGUGGUUCACAGCCAUCUCCACUCGGGAAUCAGAGAGGGUGUCUGGGGGGCUGCGCUAAGACACACAGGAUGGCCACCCCUUCAGCUGCCCGCGCAUCAACACUUUUUCCAAGGAGAAAACCAUAAAAGAAGGCUUCUCUCAAAUUACAGGAACCUACACUUCCUGCUCGGGCGUCCGUAUAAUGUUGAAACAACGCAGCGUGUGUCCAGCCCCCGGGAUAGUGGCAGCGCCAGGCAGCUCGGUGUCGUACAAGCGUACUGCAAUCCGUAUGUCGCGUCCUCAAGAAAUGGAAAAGGCUUCUGUGCUCUCGGUACUGAACACCAUCCGAGGGACAGUCCAAGUAGUUUAAGGCUUCUGAUGUAUUCAUUUGUCGCUAGUUAACUUUGCACCGCAUUCUAACAGACUUUCGGUGGCAGGAACCAGCUUUAGGUGACGGGGCACGGGCCACCUGUGAGAGUGAAUCGAGUGCUGUUGUGCAGACUGUUUCAACUUUUUUGUGAGUUCUUGCACUGUGUGUGUGCGCGUUAUUCGUGUGUAUUUUUUGAAACCACAUUUACCUCUUUUGUGUACCGCAUCUACCAGUUCUUUUUGGUGGCACUUUGGCUUCCACACUGCCGUGGGAAAGCGCCGAAGGUAGGGCCAAGUGAAGUGCCCGG